GCGAUAGUAGCUCAGUAGGCAGAGCAAUAGCUUCCCAAGCUAUGGGUCACGGGUUCGAGUCCCGCCUGUCGCU
Molecule: transfer RNA, 73 nt
Filed under: Alistipes sp.
Lineage: Bacteria; Pseudomonadati; Bacteroidota; Bacteroidia; Bacteroidales; Rikenellaceae
Description: tRNA-Gly
Rfam family: tRNA
About the family: Transfer RNA (tRNA) molecules are approximately 80 nucleotides in length. Their secondary structure includes four short double-helical elements and three loops (D, anti-codon, and T loops).
Source: RNAcentral